This is a non-coding RNA of Pelobates cultripes (western spadefoot toad), 739 nucleotides long. The record is from the annotation of a GenBank genome assembly. NCBI's taxonomy places the organism in Eukaryota, Metazoa, Chordata, Amphibia, Anura, Pelobatidae.
GUUGUGGUAGUUUUUCUUCUUUUAAAUAUAGUCUCCUCCUUUACUGUGUUGAUUCCCUUUAUAUAUUUAAAUGUUUCUAUCAUAUCCCCCCUGUCUCGUCUUUCCUCCAAGCUAUACAUGUUAAGAUCCUUUAACCUUUCCUGGUAAGUUUUAUCCUGCAAUUCAUGAACCAGUUUAGUAGCCCUUCUCUGAACCCUCUCUAAGGUAUCAAUAUCCUUCUGAAGAUACGGUCUCCAAUACUGCGUACAAUACUCCAAGUGAGGUCUCACCAGUGUUCUGUACAAUGGCAUGAGCACUUCCCUCUUUCUACUGCUAAUACCUCUCUCUAUACAACCAAGCAUUCUGCUAGUAUUUCCUGCUGCUCAAUUUUCUAUUUAUGUAUCCCACAUAUCAAAUUAGUCACCUUGUUUAAUUGUAAUAUUGCACUGCCAUGAGAGGAACACUCCGUGGUUAUUAUGUCAGGAGUGUCUUCUUGCCACCCUAUUUAAUGCAGGCAUGCCAUUUAGAAUGGUUUAACUUCUAACCAGCAGUCCCCAAUCUCCACCACUUCUUGAGACAGAGAUUCAUAAGUUGUGUACAAUGAAGUGUGUGAUCUCUUUAUGGAUCAAACCAUUGCCACGGCAAUGACAAUCUGAUUAUUAUUAUUUUUUGUGGCACUAGAGCAUAUCUGUUGAAAAGACAAUAUAUAGCUUAUUAGAACAGUAGCAUAAUUAUAAAUAAGUAAACAUGUACACACAGC